This 911-nucleotide ribosomal RNA is filed under the name Halomonas sp. N31(2010). RNAcentral's name for it is "bacterial SSU rRNA". It matches the Rfam family "Bacterial small subunit ribosomal RNA", at positions 77 to 990 of the family's 1533-position model. Lineage: Bacteria; Pseudomonadati; Pseudomonadota; Gammaproteobacteria; Oceanospirillales; Halomonadaceae. The record is from RNAcentral.
CUUGCUGGAUGCUGACGAGCGGCGGACGGGUGAGUAAUGCAUAGGAAUCUGCCCGAUAGUGGGGGAUAACCUGGGGAAACCCAGGCUAAUACCGCAUACGUCCUACGGGAGAAAGGGGGCUCCGGCUCCCGCUAUGGGAUGAGCCUAUGUCGGAUUAGCUAGUUGGUGAGGUAACGGCUCACCAAGGCCACGAUCCGUAGCUGGUCUGAGAGGAUGAUCAGCCACAUCGGGACUGAGACACGGCCCGAACUCCUACGGGAGGCAGCAGUGGGGAAUAUUGGACAAUGGGGGAAACCCUGAUCCAGCCAUGCCGCGUGUGUGAAGAAGGCCCUCGGGUUGUAAAGCACUUUCAGCGAGGAAGAACGCCUAGCGGUUAAUACCCGCUAGGAAAGACAUCACUCGCAGAAGAAGCACCGGCUAACUCCGUGCCAGCAGCCGCGGUAAUACGGAGGGUGCAAGCGUUAAUCGGAAUUACUGGGCGUAAAGCGCGCGUAGGUGGCUUGAUAAGCCGGUUGUGAAAGCCCCGGGCUCAACCUGGGAACGGCAUCCGGAACUGUCAAGCUAGAGUGCAGGAGAGGAAGGUAGAAUUCCCGGUGUAGCGGUGAAAUGCGUAGAGAUCGGGAGGAAUACCAGUGGCGAAGGCGGCCUUCUGGACUGACACUGACACUGAGGUGCGAAAGCGUGGGUAGCAAACAGGAUUAGAUACCCUGGUAGUCCACGCCGUAAACGAUGUCGACCAGCCGUUGGGUGCCUAGCGCACUUUGUGGCGAAGUUAACGCGAUAAGUCGACCGCCUGGGGAGUACGGCCGCAAGGUUAAAACUCAAAUGAAUUGACGGGGGCCCGCACAAGCGGUGGAGCAUGUGGUUUAAUUCGAUGCAACGCGAAGAACCUUACCUACUCUUGACAUCCU